CGCCUGUUUAUCAAAAACAUAACCAUAUGUAUGCACAUAUGGCGUUUUCUGCUCAAUGAUACUUAAAUAGCCGCAGUACUCUGACUGUGCAAAGGUAGCAUAAUAAAUUGGCUUAUAAUUGAAGUCUAGAAUGAACGAAUACAUGGGGAAUAGCUGUCUCAUCAGUGCAUAAUGAAUUUACUUAAUAUGUGCAAAUUCAUAUAAAUAAAUAAUAGACGAGAAGACCCUAGAAAUUUUUACUAAUAAAUGAAAACUGUUUUUGCUGGGGCGGCAUAGUAACAGAUAACUUGCAAUAUUUUACAUGAAGCAAUAUUUGCAGCCAGAUUAAAUUACUCUAGGGAUAACAGCAUAAUUUACUAUAGUUUGUGACCUCGAUGUUGGAUUAGGAAGUUGAAGUUUAGAAGAUUUACAAAUUUGCUCUGUUCGAGCAAUUUUUCCUACGUGAUCUGAGUUCA
This 455-nucleotide ribosomal RNA is filed under the name Cattania inflata. RNAcentral describes it as "partial 16S ribosomal RNA". It matches the Rfam family "Archaeal large subunit ribosomal RNA", at positions 1889 to 2682 of the family's 2987-position model. The record is from RNAcentral. Lineage: Eukaryota; Metazoa; Mollusca; Gastropoda; Stylommatophora; Helicidae.